This 264-nucleotide ribosomal RNA is filed under the name uncultured bacterium. RNAcentral's name for it is "partial 16S ribosomal RNA". It matches the Rfam family "Bacterial small subunit ribosomal RNA", at positions 91 to 353 of the family's 1533-position model. The record is from RNAcentral.
GUUAGUGGCGGACGGGUGAGUAACGCGUGGGUAACCUGCCUUGUACUGGGGGACAACAGUUGGAAACGACUGCUAAUACCGCAUAAGCGCACAGCUUCGCAUGAAGCAGUGUGAAAAACUCCGGUGGUACAAGAUGGACCCGCGUCUGAUUAGCUGGUUGGUGAGGUAACGGCCCACCAAGGCGACGAUCGGUAGCCGGCCUGAGAGGGUGAACGGCCACAUUGGGACUGAGACACGGCCCAAACUCCUACGGGAGGCAGCAUG